GGAGGGAUCAUCAAAGAAUUACACAUAUACCCAAGUGUUUUGGUUGGCGUGCUUUUUUUAGCGUGCUUUCCAGGCACUUUAAACAAACGAUCACAACUAGAGAAUGAGAUUGACUUGGUGUGUCUGUGCAGGUAUUUCGAGGGGAGACAAGACAAAAGUGUUUGCCUGAUAAUACAUUGACUUGGACAAUAUAUACAUAUACAACUUUCAACAACGGAUCUCUUGGCUCUCACAUCGAUGAAGAACAUAGCAAAGUGUGAAAAUUAAUGUGAAUUGCAGAAUUCAGUGAAUCAUUGAGUUUUUGAACGCAUCUUGCACUCCUUGGUAUUCCAGGGAGUAUGCCUGGUUGAGCAAUGUGAACAUAUCCAUCAGUUUCUCUCUUUUUGUGAGAGAUAUGAGACUGGAUCUGAGUGUUUACCUUGUCUUGGUUCUUGCUGGGAUGGAUGGGGGGAUGGGCUGGAUGGGUGUGUGUGAGUGUGUGAUUUUGGGGCUGACUUUCGGGUCAAUCUCUGUCUGCACACACACACACACAUACAGACAGCCAGUCUCUCAGUUAUAUCACAGUCGCGAAACAAGAAAACAAGGUUCACUUGAAAUGAAGCGAGAGAGAGAAACAACGACAACAGGAACUUGACAUGUAAAAAGACAGACAAGCACGAGAACCUCUUUGGAGGGGAUCAGGAGAAUUGGCUUGAUCAUAACAAUGACUGGAUGAAUAAGAAACAGCAGCCAUAUCCUCUGUGAGACUCUGCUCUCGCAUGGGACAUGGAGGUUGGAUCGGUUUAACAAGGUCUUGUUUAGAGCCUCUUUUCUGCGAGUCCAUCUUUGUCAAGAAAAAAGACUGUGUGUGUGCGUGUCUCUUUUUCUCACAACUAGGAAACGAGUGGGCACAUAUUUUUAUAUGUCCCCCCCACUCCCUCAUCAUCAUCAUUCUCAACUCAGGCAAGACUACCCGCUGAAUUUAAGCAUAUAAAUAAGCGGAGGAAAAGAAACUAACAAGGAUUCCCUUAGUAACUGCGAGUGAAGCGGGAAAAGCUCAACUUUGAAAUCUACCAAGAGUAAUAUUCUUGGUCGAAUUGUAGUUUCAAGAAAGAGUGGCUGAGAGAAGUCAGUUGGGUGCAAGUUCCUUGGAAUGAGACAUCAGAGAGGGUGACAAUCCCGUCCACCGUCCUUCUGUUUGCUUCUCACCAAAGGCCCUCUUUUCAAAGAGUCGAGUUGUUUGGGAUUGCAGCUCAAAAUGGGUGGUAAAUUUCAUCUAAAGCUAAAUAUGGGUGAGAGACCGAUAGCGAACAAGUACCGUGAGGGAAAGAUGAAAAGCACUCUGAAGAGAGAGUGAAAAGUACGUGAAAUUGUUGAAAGGGAAACGCUUGAAACCAGUCAAGGUUGGCUAGAUUUCAGGAGAGCGAUGUGUUGGGCGGGGCGGGUACGGAGAUUGAUCCUCGUGGUUUUAACUCUGUGCUGGCUUCAGCCUGGCCGUACUCUCUGUACGUUUCUAGCAAACGAGUCAGCAUCAGUUUGGACUUGCUUGGGAAAAAGCUUCUGGGAUUUGGUCGGGCUUUUGUGGGCCUUUUGGCCCUUGAAGGUCUGGAGCCUGGAAGCAUCCAUACCAAGCGCUAGACUGAGGACUGCAGUACGGGGCAUUGUCUUGGACUAGACUGGCCUGCGGUGCCGCUUUGGGUAAACAGCUUGCUGAUUGCUCAGAGCGUUGUCACUCGGGACGGUCCUAUCCAAGCGGGCUUCCGACUCUGGAUGUUGACGAAAUGGUUUUAAACGACCCGUCUUGAAACACGGACCAAGGAGUCUAACAUGGAUGCAAGUAUUUGGGUGAUUGGAAACCCAUAUGCGCAAUGAAAGUGAACUCUUGAUGGGUAGGACGCUGAGCGGUGUGUCCUCUCACGAGGCGCGCGCCUGGCCGCACUAUCGACCAAUCUUAAAUAGCUUCGGCUUGCUAGAUUUGAGUAAGAGCAUGCAUGCUGGGACCCGAAAGAUGGUGAACUAUGCCUGAAUAGGGUGAAGUCAGACGAAAGUCUGAUGGAAGCUCGUAGCGAUUCUGACGUGCAAAUCGAUCGUCGAAUUUGGGUAUAGGGGCGAAAGACUAAUCGAACCAUCUAGUAGCUGGUUCCUGC
This 2126-nucleotide unclassified non-coding RNA is filed under the name uncultured fungus. RNAcentral's name for it is "sequence contains 18S rRNA gene, ITS1, 5.8S rRNA gene, ITS2, 28S rRNA gene". The stretch from base 929 to 2126 matches the Rfam family "Eukaryotic large subunit ribosomal RNA", at positions 1 to 961 of the family's 3401-position model. Lineage: Eukaryota; Fungi. The record is from RNAcentral.